Molecule: long non-coding RNA, 2392 nt
Filed under: Paramuricea clavata
Lineage: Eukaryota; Metazoa; Cnidaria; Anthozoa; Malacalcyonacea; Plexauridae
Source: RNAcentral
GAACAUGGACUGGACCUUCCUGGAGUCCUGCUCAAUCUCUAUCAAGUGUACUCAUCUCUAUCCAGUCACUUCUCAAUGAAAAACCAUACCACAAUGAACCAGGAUUUGAGCAGGUACACUAUACCGUUAGUAGAAUUAGUGAAUGUUAGUAAACGAAUACCAUCUUGUUGUUCAUUGAUAAAAUAAAAGUAAUGGUGUAGUAAAAAUAAGGAAUCAAACUCUACCAUAGAAACCAAACAUACUAGGCAAUUAACGGAGGUAAUGAUAAUCACGGAACGUUGAAGUUUGAGAAAGUUGACAACGUUUAGUAAACAAGAUCAAUGUUUACCCUAAUUACUGGUGUCGAAAUGACUGUGUUCAAAAUAAUAUUAUUUGGCAUGUCCUCAUUUUGACCAAUUUACCACGCACAUAUGAUCAUGAUGUGUGUAACGUCUACGAUGUGUAAUCACAUUAACAUGCAUUGUCUUCAAUGGGCAUAUAAAAAGGGUCACUCCACAGAGCUCUUGUUAGUCAAAGUGACAGAGGACUGGAGAAAUGCACUUUAUAACAAAUUAGUUGUAGGAAUUGUAUUCAUUGACUUUCCGUUUCCCAUACCCUACUCCUGAGAAAGCUACAGAGUCCAGGUAUAGAAAGUGAUAUCUGGCUUUGGCUAAAGAACUAUCUACAGGAUAGAGAAAUGUCAACGAUUGUAAAUGGAACUAAGUCGUGCUCAAGGGAAGUUAAGUAUGGGGUCCCACAGGGAUCCGUCUUAGGACCUAUGCUAUUCUCUCUGUUUUGUAAUGGCCUUCCUGACAUCAUUACUGACGAAGAAGGCGAUAUUGAAAUGUACGUAGAUGACACCACUAUCUACACUGUGGGCUCAACUUCUGACAUUGUCGCGAUAACCCUGAAUAUCGUAUUAGACCAAAUGUCAAAAUGGUGUCUUGACAAUUUACUCACUCCACAUCUCGGAAAGACAGAGUAUAUGUUUUUAGGGUGCUCCAAGUUUAUCGGGCCCCCUUCAGAAAAUCAAAUUUGCUUCUGCAAGUAUCAAACAGGUUCAUUCAAAAACGUGUUUGGGUUUACAAAUUGAUUCUGGUUUUAAAUGGGAUAUUCAUACAUCUGAACUGAUAGUAACAUUCAAUCGAAAUUCAAGUCGCUGUAUUUUCUUCCCAAGCAAGCAAAACUAGACCUUUCAUCACUUAUGGAAUUCUUAUAUGGGGAUCUGUAGGUAAAACCACCUGGGACACUCUAGAGAAGCUCCAUACAAGAGCAGCUAGAAUCAUGUAUGGUUAUUCCUGGGACAUCUCGUCAAUUGAAACCCAGAGACUUGCUAACUGGAGAACUCUUAAACUAUUUUAUCAAUUAAAACUUAAUUAUCAUUAUAAGUCACCUCUCCAGCUUCAAACACUAUUUAUACUAAAAGGGAGAGAACAUAUGACUUCAGAUCAACUAACUGUUUAUGUCUUCCAAAACCAAAAAUUGGACUAUUUGAAGAAAUCUGUAUCAUAUCAAGGAGUAACUCUAUGGAACUCUCUUGAUAACGAGUCAAGAUCAUCGGAUUACAAGACCCUGAAGAAAAACUUUAUUCAACAGUUUGAUAGUUACUGUAGGAUUAGUAAGUUAGGAAAAACUUAAUAUUAGUUAAACUAAAUUCACGACCGCAUCAGCUCUGCAGCCUCUGCUGUAAAACUGAUCGUCAUUAAAUAAAUGCUUAUUAUUAUUAUUAUUAAUAUGAGAAAAUUCAUAAAAGUCUCCCUAAAAGAUUUUUAAAUCCUCUAAAAAUCCCAUGGCAUUUUUGAAAUCCCAAAUAUCUCGUAAACGUUUUGGUGUGAUAAAUCGCUCGAUUAAAUACCCCUCGGCAUCUUUCCUUUGAAACCAGCUGCCAUAUACAUUGUACCAGCCUAGCCCUAGGCUCUCUCUCGCGCGUUGUUAGCUAUGCUUGAUUCAUAGGGGUACGAAGGGGGUACAUGCGGGGACGUCACAACUAACUGACGUCAUACCUAAACCAGCCAGUCUUAUCAGUUUUAUCUGUUCGUUUGUUCGUUGGUGCAAGCUGCAGAACGGCUACGGACUAGGCUGACAUUGUACGCUUUUCCAAGUACGCUUUCUCCAACGAAAUGACGCAAAAUGUGAAGGGAAAGUUCCCAACUGCUUUCUCGUGAACUUAUAUAAUUAUGUCCCCAUGCACUUUUCCAAUUUAGUUGAGAAACAGUGCGUUCUUUCUUUCUUUCGUUUUUCUUUCUUUCUUUCUUUCUUUCUUUCAUUCUUUCAUUCUUUCUUUCAUACAGGAGAGACAAGUGGGAGACAGUAAAAAAUAUAAUGACUGUAUACAACAUGAAACGUUACGAGUGGCUGUCUGUGAUAUGCUUGAAAAUGAAUCAUUAUGUUGUUCCUCUUUAAGGUAAUUCAU